RNAcentral lists this ribosomal RNA (432 nucleotides) under uncultured bacterium. RNAcentral's name for it is "partial 16S ribosomal RNA". It matches the Rfam family "Bacterial small subunit ribosomal RNA", at positions 29 to 507 of the family's 1533-position model. The record is from RNAcentral.
ACGAACGCUGGCGGCCUGCCUAACCCAUGCACGUCGAACGAGACCUUCGGGUCUAGUGGCGCACGGGUGCGUAACGCGUGGGAGCCUGCCCUUAGGUUCGGAAUAACUCCCCGAAAGGGGUGCUAAUACCGGAUAAUGUCUUCGGACCAAAGAUUUAUCGCCUUUGGAUGGGCCCGCGUUGGAUUAGCUAGUUGGUAGGGUAAAAGCCUACCAAGGCGACGAUCCAUAGCUGGUCUGAGAGGAUGAUCAGCCACACUGGGACUGAGACACGGCCCAGACUCCUACGGGAGGCAGGAGGGGGGAAUAUUGGACAAUGGGCGAAAGCCUGAUCCAGCAAUGCCGCGUGAGUGAUUAAGGCCUUAGGGUUGGAAAGCUCUUUUACCCGGGAUGAUAAUGACAGUACCGGGAGAAUAAGCUCCGGCUAACUCCGUG